CCUACGGGAUGCAGCAGUGGGGAAUAUUGGACAAUGGGCGAAAGCCUGAUCCAGCAAUGCCGCGUGUGUGAAGAAGGUCUUCGGAUUGUAAAGCACUUUCGACGGGGACGAUGAUGACGGUACCCGUAGAAGAAGCCCCGGCUAACUUCGUGCCAGCAGCCGCGGUAAUACGAAGGGGGCUAGCGUUGCUCGGAAUGACUGGGCGUAAAGGGCGCGUAGGCGGUUUAUGCAGUCAGAUGUGAAAUCCCCGGGCUUAACCUGGGAACUGCAUUUGAGACGCAUAGACUAGAGGUCGAGAGAGGGUUGUGGAAUUCCCAGUGUAGAGGUGAAAUUCGUAGAUAUUGGG
This 346-nucleotide ribosomal RNA is filed under the name uncultured bacterium. RNAcentral's name for it is "bacterial SSU rRNA". It matches the Rfam family "Bacterial small subunit ribosomal RNA", at positions 338 to 701 of the family's 1533-position model. The record is from RNAcentral.